UGGGGAAUUUUGGACAAUGGGGGCAACCCUGAUCCAGCAAUGCCGCGUGUGUGAAGAAGGCCUUCGGGUUGUAAAGCACUUUUGUCCGGAAAGAAAUCCUUUGGGUUAAUACCUCGGAGGGAUGACGGUACCGGAAGAAUAAGCACCGGCUAACUACGUGCCAGCAGCCGCGGUAAUACGUAGGGUGCAAGCGUUAAUCGGAAUUACUGGGCGUAAAGCGUGCGCAGGCGGUUGUGCAAGACAGAUGUGAAAUCCCCGGGCUUAACCUGGGAACUGCAUUUGUGACUGCACGGCUAGAGUGUGUCAGAGGGGGGUAGAAUUCCACGUGUAGCAGUGAAAUGCGUAGAUAUGUGGAGGAAUACCGAUGGCGAAGGCAGCCCCCUGGGAUAACACUGACGCUCAUGCACGAAAGCGUGGGGAGCAAACAGGAUUAGAUACCCCCGUAGUCC
RNAcentral lists this ribosomal RNA (449 nucleotides) under uncultured bacterium. Its description in RNAcentral is "bacterial SSU rRNA". It matches the Rfam family "Bacterial small subunit ribosomal RNA", at positions 355 to 796 of the family's 1533-position model. The record is from RNAcentral.